GAUGAACGCUGGCGGCGUGCCUAACACAUGCAAGUCGAGCGAUUCUCUUCGGAGAAGAGCGGCGGACGGGUGAGUAACGCGUGGGUAACCUGCCCUGUACACACGGAUAACAUACCGAAAGGUAUGCUAAUACGAGAUAAUAUGCUUUUAUCGCAUGGUAGAAGUAUCAAAGCUCCGGCGGUACAGGAUGGACCCGCGUCUGAUUAGCUAGUUGGUAAGGUAACGGCUUACCAAGGCGACGAUCAGUAGCCGACCUGAGAGGGUGAUCGGCCACAUUGGAACUGAGACACGGUCCAAACUCCUACGGGAGGCAGCAGUGGGGAAUAUUGCACAAUGGGCGAAAGCCUGAUGCAGCAACGCCGCGUGAGCGGUGAAGGCCUUCGGGUCGUAAAGCUCUGUCCUCAAGGAAGAUAAUGACGGUACUUGAGGAGGAAGCCCCGGCUAACUACGUGCCAGCAGCCGCAGUAA
RNAcentral lists this ribosomal RNA (468 nucleotides) under uncultured bacterium. Its description in RNAcentral is "partial 16S ribosomal RNA". It matches the Rfam family "Bacterial small subunit ribosomal RNA", at positions 28 to 523 of the family's 1533-position model. The record is from RNAcentral.